GACGUACGCUGGCGGCGUGCUUAACACAUGCAAGUCGAACGGAAAGGCCCUGCUUUUGUGGGGUGCUCGAGUGGCGAACGGGUGAGUAACACGUGAGUAACCUGCCCUUGACUUUGGGAUAACUUCAGGAAACUGGGGCUAAUACCGGAUAGGAGCUCCUGCUGCAUGGUGGGGGUUGGAAAGUUUCGGCGGUUGGGGAUGGACUCGCGGCUUAUCAGCUUGUUGGUGGGGUAGUGGCUUACCAAGGCUUUGACGGGUAGCCGGCCUGAGAGGGUGACCGGCCACAUUGGGACUGAGAUACGGCACAGACUCGUACGGGAGGCAGCAGGGGGGAAUAUUGCACAAUGGGCGGAAGCCUGAUGCAGCAACGCCGCGUGCGGGAUGACGGCCUUCGGGUUGUAAACCGCUUUCGCCUGUGACGAAGCGUGAGUGACGGUAAUGGGUAAAGAAGCACCGGCUAACUACGUG
RNAcentral lists this ribosomal RNA (468 nucleotides) under uncultured bacterium. RNAcentral describes it as "partial 16S ribosomal RNA". It matches the Rfam family "Bacterial small subunit ribosomal RNA", at positions 28 to 507 of the family's 1533-position model. The record is from RNAcentral.